AUGGCUGCCGGCGGCAGAAUGAUGGAGAAGGAGCAGGAGAAGCAGGAGCUGCUCGGUCGCGCUAGCGCCGAUCAAGAAGGCAAUCCCGCCUCACGCUUCCAGUGCUCGGUGAUCAGGUCCUUCUCCUAUGUGGUCUAUGACCUUGUCAUCAUCGCGUCCCUCCUAUACGCCACGUUGGUCUGGAUCCCAGCACUCCCGAGCAUGCAACAGCUGGGCGCCUGUCCGCUCUACUGGGUCGUGCAGGGCUGCGUCAUGAACGACAUCUGGGUGAUCGCCCAUGAGUGCGGCCACCAUGCCUUCUCCGACUACUUGCUGCUCGACAACAUGGUCAGAAGCUCAUUAUCGUCUUGUCUAGCAUUGCUAUUAUUCUGA
Molecule: ribosomal RNA, 372 nt
Filed under: Triticum aestivum (bread wheat)
Lineage: Eukaryota; Viridiplantae; Streptophyta; Magnoliopsida; Poales; Poaceae
Description: partial small subunit ribosomal RNA
Source: RNAcentral